Molecule: ribosomal RNA, 253 nt
Filed under: uncultured Eubacteriales bacterium
Lineage: Bacteria; Bacillati; Bacillota; Clostridia; Eubacteriales
Description: uncultured Clostridiales bacterium partial 16S ribosomal RNA
Rfam family: Bacterial small subunit ribosomal RNA
Source: RNAcentral
UACGUAGGGGGCAAGCGUUAUCCGGAUUUACUGGGUGUAAAGGGAGCGCAGACGGCAGUGCAAGUCUGGAGUGAAAGCCCGGGGCUCAACCCCGGGACUGCUUUGGAAACUGCAUAGCUGGAGUGCUGGAGAGGCAAGCGGAAUUCCUAGUGUAGCGGUGAAAUGCAUAGAUAUCGCGCAGAACUCCGAUUGCGAAGGCAGCAUGCCGGCUCCACACUGACGCUGAGGCACGAAAGCGUGGGUAUCGAACAGG